This 84-nucleotide transfer RNA is filed under the name hydrothermal vent metagenome. Its description in RNAcentral is "tRNA-Leu-TAA". It matches the Rfam family "tRNA". Rfam says of the family: Transfer RNA (tRNA) molecules are approximately 80 nucleotides in length. Their secondary structure includes four short double-helical elements and three loops (D, anti-codon, and T loops). The record is from RNAcentral.
GCCCGGGUGGUGAAAUUGGUAGACACACAGGACUUAAAAUCCUGCGCUUUCACGAGCGUGCCGGUUCGAUUCCGGCCCCGGGCA